GUCCACGCUGUAAACGUUGGGCACUAGGUGUAGGAGGUAUUGACCCCUUCUGUGCCGCAGCUAACGCGAUAAGUGCCCCGCCUGGGGAGUACGGCCGCAAGGCUAAAACUCAAAGGAAUUGACGGGGGCCCGCACAAGCAGCGGAGCGUGUGGUUCAAUUCGAUGCAACGCGAAGAACCUUACCAGGGCUUGACAUGCUGGUGGUACCGAUCUGAAAAGUGAGGGACCCUUCGGGGAGCCAGUGCAGGUGUUGCAUGGCUGUCGU
This 265-nucleotide ribosomal RNA is filed under the name uncultured bacterium. RNAcentral's name for it is "partial 16S ribosomal RNA". It matches the Rfam family "Bacterial small subunit ribosomal RNA", at positions 793 to 1055 of the family's 1533-position model. The record is from RNAcentral.